GACGAACGCUGGCGGCGUGCUUAACACAUGCAAGUCGAGCGGUAAGGCCCUUUCGGGGGUACACGAGCGGCGAACGGGUGAGUAACACGUGGGUGACCUGCCUUUAGCUCUGGGAUAAGCCUGGGAAACCGGGUCUAAUACCGGAUAUGACUCCGCGGCGCAUGUUGUGGGGUGGAAAGCCUUGUGCGGCUGGAGAUGGGCCCGCGGCCUAUCAGCUUGUUGGUGGGGUGAUGGCCUACCAAGGCGACGACGGGUAGCCGGCCUGAGAGGGCGACCGGCCACACUGGGACUGAGACACGGCCCAGACUCCUACGGGAGGCAGCAGUGGGGAAUCUUGCGCAAUGGGCGAAAGCCUGACGCAGCGACGCCGCGUG
Molecule: ribosomal RNA, 374 nt
Filed under: uncultured bacterium
Lineage: Bacteria
Description: bacterial SSU rRNA
Rfam family: Bacterial small subunit ribosomal RNA
Source: RNAcentral